Molecule: non-coding RNA, 25 nt
Filed under: Cricetulus griseus (Chinese hamster)
Lineage: Eukaryota; Metazoa; Chordata; Mammalia; Rodentia; Cricetidae
Source: RNAcentral
UUGACUGACUGUUUCUUCUCAGCAG